ACAUGCACGAUCUAUGGAAUGGAGGAUGAGACAGAGUAUCAUGCAGUGAUUGCCUGUACUAAGGCAAAAGCGCUUCGGUCUGAAAUCCGGAAAGCCUGGAAGUUGCCGGCGGAGGAAAAAUUUCAGUACACCGGAGAUGACUGGCUAUUGUGCCUGUUGAGUGCAUGUGAUGAAGUAACUAGAAGAAGAAUCCUUCUAAUAAUCUGGAGAGCGUGGCAUCUCCGCAACAACAGUGUGCAUGAGGAAGGAAAAGCUUCAGUUACUGUCUCUGUGGAAUUCUUGAAGAAGUACGAACUAGAAGUAAUCCAAUGCAUGGAGUCGCAAGGUGAUGAAAAAGGAAAACAAACCCUAUUCCCUGACAGCAAAGUGAGUGUCGAAUAG
This 381-nucleotide ribosomal RNA is filed under the name Triticum aestivum (bread wheat). Its description in RNAcentral is "partial small subunit ribosomal RNA". The record is from RNAcentral. Lineage: Eukaryota; Viridiplantae; Streptophyta; Magnoliopsida; Poales; Poaceae.